This 85-nucleotide transfer RNA is filed under the name bacterium. RNAcentral's name for it is "tRNA-Leu". It matches the Rfam family "tRNA". Rfam says of the family: Transfer RNA (tRNA) molecules are approximately 80 nucleotides in length. The record is from RNAcentral. RNAcentral also lists the same sequence under 1 other name.
GCCGAAGUGGUGGAACUGGUAGACGCGCAGGCUUCAGGUGCCUGUGAGGGUUUUCCUCGUGGGGGUUCGAGUCCCCCCUUCGGCA